GAUGAACGCUGACAGAAUGCUUAACACAUGCAAGUCAUUGGCGAAGCUGCGCUUGCGCAGUCUAGCCAAGGCGGACGGGUGAGUAACGCGUAAGGAACUUGCCCUGCAGACAGGGAUAACAGACGGAAACGACUGAUAACACCUGGUAUUGUCAGGCUGGCGCAUGCCGGCCUGAUGAAAGGAGACGCUGCUGGAGAGCCUUGCGUCCUAUUAGCUAGUUGGUGGGGUAACGGCCCACCAAGGCGAUGAUAGGUAGCCGGCCUGAGAGGGUGAACGGCCACAAGGGGACUGAGAUACAGCCCUUACUCCUACGGGAGGCAGCAGUGGGGAAUAUUGGACAAUGGGGGCAACCCUGAUCCAGCAAUUCUGUGUGCACGAAGAAGGUUUUCGGAUUGUAAAGUGCUUUCAGCAGGGAAGAAGAAAGUGACGGUACCUGCAGAAGAAGCGACGGCUAAAUACGUG
Molecule: ribosomal RNA, 462 nt
Filed under: uncultured bacterium
Lineage: Bacteria
Description: partial 16S ribosomal RNA
Rfam family: Bacterial small subunit ribosomal RNA
Source: RNAcentral